UACGUAGGUUCCGAGCGUUAUCCGGAUUUACUGGGCGUAAAGCGCGUUCAGGCGGUUUGGCAAGUCGGGCAUGAAAUCUCUCGGCUCAACCGGGAGAGGUUGUCCGAUACUGCUGGACUUGAGGGCAGUAGAGGGUGGUGGAAUUCCGGGUGUAGUGGUGAAAUGCGUAGAUAUCCGGAGGAACACCAGUGGCGAAAGCGGCCACCUGGGCUGCACCUGACGCUGACACGCGAAAGCUAGGGGAGCGAACGGG
RNAcentral lists this ribosomal RNA (253 nucleotides) under uncultured bacterium. RNAcentral's name for it is "partial 16S ribosomal RNA". It matches the Rfam family "Bacterial small subunit ribosomal RNA", at positions 524 to 776 of the family's 1533-position model. The record is from RNAcentral.